AUGCAUGAGUCCUCCAAGGAAGUUGGAAUCAAGGAUGACAAUGAUGAGUCUUGUUACAGCUGUGAGGAAAAGAUGCGUGAGUCAGUAAAGGAAGGUGGAAUCAGGGAUGAAAAUUUUGAUUCUUGUAGAUUUUCUGAGAAGUUUGGAUUAUUCAAGAGGAUAUUAUCGAUGAAGUUGUUUCACGUAGAAGACCUCUCAUCGUUUGGUGGUGAUUAUUUUUAUCAUCCACCCAGCUCUGGUUGGGGCCACAGCUGGGAUGAGGUCUCUGCUGCUGUGCGCUAUGAGCUGGAGAUAUCUCGUAUUCAGCGUGAGGACCAGCGUAGUGGCAUGCAUCACGUUCUGGGAAUGCCCAGGUACAUUGCUCGCCAGUUGUAUUAUCAGAGAAGAGUUUUACGUGAAGCACAGGUGUUGAAGAACCGUUUUGCUGAUCUAAAGAAGGCUUUCCUAGAGUGUGAGAAGUCUUCAACCAAAGGGAUGUCUGAUUUCAUGGAGGUCCUCAAAGACUUCACAGCAAGAAAUGAGCAAAAAUUGGAAGAAGGGCUUGAGGCCAUCAAAUUGGCAACACAUGAAGACUUGGUCUCCAGGCAGCGUACUUAUGAUGAGUUAGCAUCCAAGUUGAAGUCCAUGGACCAGAAGGAAAUCUCUCCAUUUCUCAGCUAUAUAGACAAUCUUGUCAGGACAGUUGAGAUACCAGUCAACAUGAGGAAGCGUCUGAGUGAGCUCCGCAAGGAGCUAUUUACGCUCCAAAGUUUGGCUAUUCAGCUACUGGUAUUUGUCACUUCUAAUAAGCUGCCGGCCCCACCCUCAGUUACUCUCCUGGAAGAAGCAAAUGCUAAAUAUGCUAAUCUCCCUCUCCCUGUUCUGGUGAGCUCUGAAGUUAAAGCUCCUCGUUUUUACAGAUCGUUUGGCAAGGAUUCGAAGGAUCUUCUCUAUAAGCACUACUGCUCUGAUGCUCCCAUGACUUCGAAGACGAUCGUCAAUUUCGACAUGAGGGGAAGGUCGUCCUUAUCUAUGCUGUUGUCUACUGACCAGCAGGUAAUGUUCAAGUGCAACUAUGCUGAUAAUUUGCCAAAAAAUCUGAUGGCUACGAUGCUCUUUGGGGUGCCAAGCAGUAACUCCAAGGUCAAGCUUCAGUAUUUAUUCCCAUAUGGUGGUCUGAACGGUAGCUUCAAUUUUGGUGAAGAAAGUGUGUUAAAGGUUGCAUUUUCUGGUGGUUAUGAUCGGUGGUAUGCUGGAGGCAAGGUUAAGGUGAAUACUUGCAAUGCUAUGAAGCAUUAUGAAUUUGGUGUUUCAUACGAGUCUGCUACUAUAAAGUUCGACAUUUUGAAGAUCUCUUUGUUUGAUCGCCCUGAUUCUGCUAUCUCUGGGGCAAUGGAGCUGAGGUACACUCGCUCUUCAAACACUGCUGUUGCUGCUGCUGGUGUUUCAUGGACGCCUGAUGACAAGACCAAGUUUAAGGCACGAGUUGCUUCCAAUGGUGAAGCAUCACUCUUGUUGCAACAUCGUGCCUCGUCGAGCAUUGACUUCUCUGCUUCUGCGAUGUUCAACUUUCGUGCAUUACAUGAGGCCCCCAAAGUAGGCUUCUCUUUUGAUUUCAGGCCGGCCUUCCUCUCGUCCUUUGCCUCUCCACCCUUUGUUCCAUCUGACAGCACUGCCCCGGCAGUGUGA
Molecule: ribosomal RNA, 1668 nt
Filed under: Triticum aestivum (bread wheat)
Lineage: Eukaryota; Viridiplantae; Streptophyta; Magnoliopsida; Poales; Poaceae
Description: partial small subunit ribosomal RNA
Source: RNAcentral